This 1519-nucleotide ribosomal RNA is filed under the name Eremochloa ophiuroides. Its description in RNAcentral is "bacterial LSU rRNA". It matches the Rfam family "Bacterial large subunit ribosomal RNA", at positions 402 to 2028 of the family's 2925-position model. The record is from RNAcentral. Lineage: Eukaryota; Viridiplantae; Streptophyta; Magnoliopsida; Poales; Poaceae.
GAAGACUCGAGUAGGGCGGGACACGUGUAAUCCUGUCUGAACAUGGGGGGACCACCCUCCAAGCCUAAAUACUCGUAUGCGACCGAUAGUGAACUAGUACCGUGAGGGAAAGGUGAAAAGCACCCCGAUGAGGGGAGUGAAACAGUACCUGAAACGGAUUGCCUACAAGCAGUUGGAGGGUCCUUGAGGCCUGACAGCGUACCUCUUGCAUAAUGGGUCUGUGACUUAAUGUAUCAAGCAAGCUUAAGCCGUUAGGUGUAGGCGCAGCGAAAGCGAGUCUGAAUAGGGCGAUUUAGUUAGUUGCAUUAGACCCGAAACCGAGUGAUCUAGCCAUGAGCAGGCUGAAGGUUGGGUAACACCAACUGGAGGGCCGAACCCGUAUCUGUUGCAAUAGAUUGGGAUGACUUGUGGCUAGGGGUGAAAGGCCAAUCAAACUCGGAAAUAGCUGGUUCUCCGCGAAAUCUAUUUAGGUAGAGCGUCGACCGAAUACCCUCGGGGGUAGAGCACUGGAUGGGCUAUGGGGACUCACCGUCUUACUGAUCCUAACCAAACUCCGAAUACCGAGGAGUACUAGUCGGCAGACACACGGCGGGUGCUAACGUCCGUCGUGAAAAGGGCAACAACCCUGACCUCCAGCUAAGGUCCCCAAGUCAUGGCUAAGUGGGAAAGGAUGUGAGGAUCCCAAAACAACCAGGAUGUUGGCUUAGAAGCAGCCAUCAUUUAAAGAAAGCGUAACAGCUCACUGGUCUAAAUAAGAGGUUCUGCGGCGAAGAUGUAACGGGGCUAAAGUGAUGCACCGAAGCUUAGGGUGUGGCGCAAGCCACGCGGUAGCGGAGCGUUCCGUAAGCCUGUGAAGCGAUCUGGUAAUGGGUCGUGGAGGUAUCGGAAGUGCGAAUGCAGACAUGAGUAGCGAUAAAAAGGGUGAGAUGCCCUUUCGCCGAAAGACCAAGGGUUCCUGCGCAAGGCUAAUCCGCGCAGGGUGAGCCGGCCCCUAAGACGAGCCCGAAGGGGGUAGUCGAUGGGAACCACGUUAAUAUUCGUGGGCCUGGUGGUGUGUGACGGAUCUCGUGUGUUGUUCUCCCUUAUUGGAUUGGGAGGGCUUCGAAGAGGUUCCAGGAAAUAGCCCCACCGUAUAGACCGUACCCGAAACCGACACAGGUGGUCAGGUAGAGUAUACCAAGGCGCUUGAGAGAAGUGUCCUGAAGGAACUCGGCAAAUUGCCUCCGUACCUUCGGAAGAAGGAGGCCCUCAUUGUGCGCAAGCAUUUUGAGGGGGCACAGGCCAGGGGGUAGCGACUGUUUAGCAAAAACACAGGGCUCUGCUAAGUCGGCUUCAAGACGACGUAUAGGGCCUGACGCCUGCCCGGUGCCUGAAGGUUAAGUGGAGGGGUGCAAGCUCUGAAAUGAAGCCCAGGUAAACGGCGGCCGUAACGAUAACGGUCCUAAGGUAGCGAAAUUCCUUGUCGGGUAAGUUCCGACCUGCACGAAUGGCGUAACGACUUCCCCACUGUCUCCAGGAC